This 504-nucleotide ribosomal RNA is filed under the name uncultured bacterium. RNAcentral's name for it is "partial 16S ribosomal RNA". It matches the Rfam family "Bacterial small subunit ribosomal RNA", at positions 28 to 507 of the family's 1533-position model. The record is from RNAcentral.
GGCGAACGCUGGCGGCGUGCCUAAUACAUGCAAGUAGAACGCACAGUUUAUACCGUAGCUUGCUACACCAUAAACUGUGAGUUGCGAACGGGUGAGUAACGCGUAGGUAACCUGCCUGGUAGCGGGGGAUAACUAUUGGAAACGAUAGCUAAUACCGCAUAAUAUUAAUUAUUGCAUGAUAAUUGAUUGAAAGAUGCAAUUGCAUCACUACCAGAUGGACCCGGGCUGUAUUAGCUAGUAGGUGAGGUAACGGCUCACCAAGGCAACGAUACAUAGCCGACCUGAGCGGGUGAGCGGCAACAGUGGAACUGAGACACGGUCCGGAGCACUACGGGAGGCAGAAGUAGGGAAUAUUGAGCAAUGGGCGAAAUCUGGGCGGAGCAAAGAAGCGUGAGUGAUGAAGGUCUUCGGAUAGUAAAACUAUGUUAUUAGGGAAGAACAAAUGUGUAAGUAACUAUGCACGUCUUGACGGUACCUAAGCAGAAAGCCACGGCUAACUACGUG